UAAGUCAGCCGGACAGCCGCGCGGAGAAAUUCGUGAGGAAAGUCCGAGCUCCACAGGGCAUGAAUAGCGGGUAACACCCGCCGAAGGCGACUUUAGGACAAGUGCAACAGAAAGAAAAACCGCCGUGUUUUCACGGUAAGGGUGGAAGGGUGAGGUAAGCGCUCACCGGCCCUUUAGGAGACUAAGGGGCGCUGUAAACUCUAUUCGGAGCAACAUCGACUCGGGAAUCAAGCCUGCCCGGCGCUCCCGGACGGAUGGCAUGAGGCGGUCGGCAACGAACGUCCCAGAUAGAUGGCUGUCAAAACAGAACUCGGCUUACGGGCUGACUUAUGCU
RNAcentral lists this RNase P RNA (334 nucleotides) under Oscillospiraceae bacterium. RNAcentral's name for it is "RNase P RNA component class A". It matches the Rfam family "Bacterial RNase P class A". Rfam says of the family: Ribonuclease P (RNase P) is a ubiquitous endoribonuclease, found in archaea, bacteria and eukarya as well as chloroplasts and mitochondria. Its best characterised activity is the generation of mature 5'-ends of tRNAs by cleaving the 5'-leader elements of precursor-tRNAs. Cellular RNase Ps are ribonucleoproteins. Lineage: Bacteria; Bacillati; Bacillota; Clostridia; Eubacteriales; Oscillospiraceae. The record is from RNAcentral.